GUGCCUUCGGGAACCGUGAGACAGGUGCUGCAUGGCUGUCGUCAGCUCGUGUUGUGAAAUGUUGGGUUAAGUCCCGCAACGAGCGCAACCCUUAUCCUUUGUUGCCAGCGGUCCGGCCGGGAACUCAAAGGAGACUGCCAGUGAUAAACUGGAGGAAGGUGGGGAUGACGUCAAGUCAUCAUGGCCCUUACGACCAGGGCUACACACGUGCUACAAUGGCGCAUACAAAGAGAAGCGACCUCGCGAGAGCAAGCGGACCUCAUAAAGUGCGUCGUAGUCCGGAUUGGAGUCUGCAACUCGACUCCAUGAAGUCGGAAUCGCUAGUAAUCGUGGAUCAGAAUGCCACGGUGAAUACGUUCCCGGGCCUUGUACACACCGCCCGUCACACCAUGGGAGUGGGUUGCAAAAGAAGUAGGUAGCUUAACCUUCGGGAGGGCGCUUACCACUUUGUGAUUCAUGACUGGGGUGAAGUCGUAACAAGGUAACCGUAGGGGAACCUGCGGUUGGA
RNAcentral lists this ribosomal RNA (508 nucleotides) under Escherichia coli. RNAcentral's name for it is "bacterial SSU rRNA". It matches the Rfam family "Bacterial small subunit ribosomal RNA", at positions 1014 to 1522 of the family's 1533-position model. RNAcentral also lists the same sequence under 2 other names. The record is from RNAcentral. Lineage: Bacteria; Pseudomonadati; Pseudomonadota; Gammaproteobacteria; Enterobacterales; Enterobacteriaceae.